RNAcentral lists this transfer RNA (56 nucleotides) under Acrobeloides varius. RNAcentral describes it as "tRNA-Val". The record is from RNAcentral. Lineage: Eukaryota; Metazoa; Nematoda; Chromadorea; Rhabditida; Cephalobidae.
AAAUCUCUAGUUUAUAUAGAACAUCUCUCUUACACAGAGGAAGUUAGUUAGAUUUU